UAAACCAGAUUUAAACCGGUCCAAACGUAGUGCAUUCGAAUCAACAUAUCAACCAAAAGCAAAGUUCCAAAUAGAGGGAACCCCGUCUUCUCCUUCUCACCUUAUGCUAUUUGUUCCCGUGUUCGAGUCCAAAGAGAGGAAUCCAAGAGCGAAUAUAGCUUUUGGCAUAAUACUUUGAGAGAGGGAAUUCAAGAGAUCGAUCAAAGGGAAAAAGACGUUUGCUACUUCUCUUGUUUGUGAUGGCUCUAUAUGAUCAUCAUUCGGAUGAGAAUGAUUGAUUGAGAAAAUGCCCGAGAACGAGUGAAAAAUCGGCAUUGCAAGCUUGAGAAGGUUCCAAUAUUUUUGUGAAUCGAUCGUUUGAUAAAGCUCCAACAUCAAUCCUUUUCCUUAUCUAAUAGUUCAACCAAGAGAAGGCAGACAUGGAUUGAUUGUUCACUUGGAUCAGAGAUCUGGGAACCAUGAAUUGGUUGUUCCCAUCCUAGAGAACUAUACACCAAAUAAAACAAGGAUGAUCAAGGAAUGGUUUCAAUUGAACACGUGCUUCCAAGAAUCCAGCUAAAACUUGCGUUCUAAUGUACUGCUUGGCUGCAAGAAAAAGACAAUUUGUUUACUUUAAGAGAUCUCCCCAAAAUUGAGAUUCUACUAAGGUUGGAUUGAGUUUUUUUACCUUAUCUAUGUUUUCUACAGCAAGAUGAGAAAUCUGAACUACAGUUUUUUUUUACCUUAUCUAUUUUGUGUAAAAGUGAAUUUUUUCAUCCAUACAAUUGUUGAUAUUGCGUCAUUAUUAGUGCAUUGGACAGCGGUCCAUCCUGAAUUUGAAGGUGUCAAUAGGGCUGCAUCUGGGUCAAAUUUUUGGUUGAUAUUGAAAUACUUUUCUUCUUUAUUAUGACAUCAUGGUGGUCAAAUUCAGGUUUGAUUUUGAAUAUAAUAUUCUAGGCCAAAUGAAUAUUUGGAUUAUAUUGUUGAUA
RNA transcript from Nelumbo nucifera (sacred lotus), 968 nucleotides. It is a transcript of the gene named ATP-citrate synthase beta chain protein 1-like, with no coding region annotated. The record is from RefSeq and is a predicted model, not a curated record. Lineage: Eukaryota; Viridiplantae; Streptophyta; Magnoliopsida; Proteales; Nelumbonaceae.